This 465-nucleotide ribosomal RNA is filed under the name uncultured bacterium. Its description in RNAcentral is "partial 16S ribosomal RNA". It matches the Rfam family "Bacterial small subunit ribosomal RNA", at positions 338 to 795 of the family's 1533-position model. The record is from RNAcentral.
CCUACGGGUGGCAGCAGUGGGGAAUAUUGCGCAAUGGGCGAAAGCCUGACGCAGCGACGCCGCGUGAGGGAUGAAGGUCUUCGGAUCGUAAACCUCUGUCAGCAGGGAAGAACGGUCACUGUGCUAAUCAGCAGUGAAUUGACGGUACCUGCAAAGGAAGCACCGGCUAACUCCGUGCCAGCAGCCGCGGUAAUACGGAGGGUGCGAGCGUUAAUCGGAAUUACUGGGCGUAAAGCGCUCGUAGGCGGUAUGUCAAGUCAAGGGUGAAAUCCCCGCGCUCAACGUGGGAACUGCCUUUGAAACUGGCAAACUGGAGUGUGUGAGGGGAUAGUGGAAUUCCAGGUGUAGGAGUGAAAUGCGUAGAUAUCUGGAGGAACAUCAGUGGCGAAGGCGACUAUCUGGCAAAUAACUGACGCUGAGGAGCGAAAGCGUGGGUAGCAAACAGGAUUAGAUACCCUAGUAGUC